AGGGUGUAAACGCUGCAGACUUGGUGUUGGAAAUCCUUCGAGGGUAUUCAGUGCCGGAGAGAAGUUGUUAAGUCUGCUACUUGGGGAGUACGUCCGCAAGGAUGAAACUUAAAGGAAUUGGCGGGGGAGCACCGCAACGGGAGGAGCGUGCGGUUUAAUUGGAUACAACACCGUAAAACUCACCAGGGAAGACUGUUACAUGAAGGCCGAGAUGAAGACUCUGCUAGAUUUUCAGAGAGGUGGUGCAUGGCGUCAGUGACU
This 261-nucleotide ribosomal RNA is filed under the name uncultured archaeon. RNAcentral describes it as "partial 16S ribosomal RNA". It matches the Rfam family "Archaeal small subunit ribosomal RNA", at positions 748 to 1008 of the family's 1478-position model. The record is from RNAcentral.